GAUGAGGUAAUAGUUCUUCAUUGCUGUGUUUCUUGUGUAAAUAUUAUUUCUAAACUUUCAUAAUACUUUAAAAGUUAAAACAUUAAUGUUGUAGGUAUAAGUGAUGUGUUGUUUUAAGUAUUUUUUAUGCACAGUUUUGUUAAGUAAGGAUUAGAGCGUCGAAUGUUUGAAAUGUUUGGUCAUAAUCACACAUGGUAUUUACGCAGGUAUCACUCCGCCAGAAAAGUAGAGACCUGUGUAUGUGUUUCAUGUUUCCAACGAAGGUAUGUGGAUUUGUGUAUUAUUAUUAUAUUUUUGGGAUAAAACGUUUUUGUUAUUGUAAUUUAAAUUAUUAUUUUUAUAUGAAUGACUGUUAUUUACUUUCUCUUCUAUCGGACUUUUGAUGAUGAGGUAUCACUCCGCCAGAAAAGUAGAGACCUGUGUAUGUGUUUCAUGUUUCCAACAAAGGUAUGUGGAUUUGUGUAUUAUUUUUUUUUGUUGUUGUGAUAAAACGUUUUUGUUAUUGUAAUUUCAAUUAUUAUUUUUAUAUGAAUGACUGUUAUUUACUUUCUCUUCUAUCGGACUUUUGAUGGUGAGGUAUCACUCCGCCAGAAAAGUAGAGACCUGUGUAUGUGUUUCAUGUUUCCAACAAAGGUAUCACUCCGCCAGAAAAGUAGAGACCUGUGUAUGUGUUUCAUGUUUCCAACAAAGGUGGCCAAUAAAGGAUGAAACGAUGAAA
This is a long non-coding RNA of Nerophis ophidion (straightnose pipefish), 718 nucleotides long. RefSeq lists it as uncharacterized. The record is from RefSeq and is a predicted model, not a curated record. The transcript has 2 exons. Lineage: Eukaryota; Metazoa; Chordata; Actinopteri; Syngnathiformes; Syngnathidae.